RNAcentral lists this ribosomal RNA (464 nucleotides) under uncultured bacterium. RNAcentral describes it as "partial 16S ribosomal RNA". It matches the Rfam family "Bacterial small subunit ribosomal RNA", at positions 331 to 792 of the family's 1533-position model. The record is from RNAcentral.
CCAGACUCCUACGGGAGGCAGCAGUGAGGAAUAUUGGUCAAUGGCCGUAAGGCUGAACCAGCCAAGUCGCGUGAAGGAAGAAGGAUCUAUGGUUUGUAAACUUCUUUUAUAGGGGAAUAAAGGUAUCCACGUGUGGAUAUUUGCAUGUACCCUAUGAAUAAGCAUCGGCUAACUCCGUGCCAGCAGCCGCGGUAAUACGGAGGGUGCAAGCGUUGUCCGGAAUCAUUGGGCGUAAAGAGUUCGUAGGCGGCAUGUAAAGUCAGGUGUUAAAGGCGCAGGCUCAACCUGUGUAUGGCACUUGAUACUUGCAAGCUGGAAUGCGGUAGAGGUAAAGGGAAUUCCUGGUGUAGCGGUGAAAUGCUUAGAUAUCAGGAGGAACAUCGGUGGCGUAAGCGCUUUACUGGGCCGUAAUUGACGCUGAGGAACGAAAGCCAGGGUAGCAAAUGGGAUUAGAUACCCUAGUA